RNAcentral lists this transfer RNA (90 nucleotides) under Alphaproteobacteria bacterium. RNAcentral's name for it is "tRNA-Ser". It matches the Rfam family "tRNA". Rfam says of the family: Transfer RNA (tRNA) molecules are approximately 80 nucleotides in length. Their secondary structure includes four short double-helical elements and three loops (D, anti-codon, and T loops). Lineage: Bacteria; Pseudomonadati; Pseudomonadota; Alphaproteobacteria. The record is from RNAcentral.
GGAAGGGUGGCUGAGUGGUUGAAAGCUCUGGUCUUGAAAACCAGCGUAGUCGAAAGGCUACCGUGGGUUCGAAUCCCACCCCUUCCGCCA